UCCCUGGUGGUCUAGUGGUUAGGAUUUGGCACUUUCACUGCCACGGCCUCGGUUCAAUUCCCAGUUAGGGAA
Non-coding RNA from Chelonoidis abingdonii (Abingdon island giant tortoise), 72 nucleotides. Lineage: Eukaryota; Metazoa; Chordata; Testudines; Testudinidae. The record is from the annotation of a RefSeq genome assembly.